This 647-nucleotide ribosomal RNA is filed under the name uncultured bacterium. RNAcentral's name for it is "bacterial SSU rRNA". It matches the Rfam family "Bacterial small subunit ribosomal RNA", at positions 183 to 828 of the family's 1533-position model. The record is from RNAcentral.
CCGGGGCAUCCCGGAGGCAGGAAAGGCUUCGGCCGGACAGGGAUGGGCAUGCGGCGCAUUAGGCAGUAGGCGGGGUAACGGCCCACCUAACCGACGAUGCGUAGGGGUUCUGAGAGGAAGGUCCCCCACACUGGUACUGAGACACGGACCAGACUCCUACGGGAGGCAGCAGUGAGGAAUAUUGGUCAAUGGUCGGGAGACUGAACCAGCCAAGCCGCGUGAGGGAUGAAGGUACAGAGUAUCGUAAACCUCUUUUGUCAGGGAACAAAGGCGGGGACGUGUCCCCGGAUGAGUGUACCUGAAGAAAAAGCAUAGGCUAACUCCGUGCCAGCAGCCGCGGUAAUACGGAGGAUGCGAGCGUUAUCCGGAUUUAUUGGGUUUAAAGGGUGCGCAGGCGGUCUGUUAAGUCAGCGGUCAAAGCCCGGGGCUCAACCCCGGCCCGCCGUUGAAACUGGCAGUCUCGAGUUGGAGAGAAGUAUGCGGAAUGCGCGGUGUAGCGGUGAAAUGCAUAGAUAUCGCGCAGAACUCCGAUUGCGAAGGCAGCAUGCCGGCUCCACACUGACGCUGAGGCACGAAAGCGUGGGUAUCGAACAGGAUUAGAUACCCUGGUAGUCCACGCAGUAAACGAUGAAUGCUGGCUGUCCGGG